GAUGAACGCUGGCGGCGUGCCUAAUACAUGCAAGUCGAGCGAACAGACGAGGAGCUUGCUCCUUCGACGUUAGCGGCGGACGGGUGAGUAACACGUAGGUAACCUACCUAUAAGACUGGGAUAACUUCGGGAAACCGGAGCUAAUACCGGAUAAUAUUUCGAACCGCAUGGUUCGAUAGUGAAAGAUGGCUUUGCUAUCACUUAUAGAUGGACCUGCGCCGUAUUAGCUAGUUGGUAAGGUAACGGCUUACCAAGGCAACGAUACGUAGCCGACCUGAGAGGGUGAUCGGCCACACUGGAACUGAGACACGGUCCAGACUCCUACGGGAGGCAGCAGUAGGGAAUCUUCCGCAAUGGGCGAAAGCCUGACGGAGCAACGCCGCGUGAGUGAUGAAGGUCUUCGGAUCGUAAAACUCUGUUAUUAGGGAAGAACAAAAGUGUAAGUAACUGUGCACGUCUUGACGGUACCUAAUCAGAAAGCCACAGCUAACUACGUG
Molecule: ribosomal RNA, 497 nt
Filed under: uncultured bacterium
Lineage: Bacteria
Description: partial 16S ribosomal RNA
Rfam family: Bacterial small subunit ribosomal RNA
Source: RNAcentral